UACGUAGGUGGCGAGCGUUGUCCGGAAUUAUUGGGCGUAAAGGGCGUGUAGGCGGUCUGGUAAGUGGGAAGUGAAAGACCACGGCUCAACCGUGGGGGUGCUUCUCAUACUGCUGGACUUGAGGGUGCUAGAGGGCAGUGGAAUUCCCGGUGUAGCAGUGAAAUGCGUAGAGAUCGGGAGGAACACCAGUGGCGAAGGCGACUGCCUGGGGCACACCUGACGCUGAGGCGCGAAAGCUGGGGGAGCAAACGGG
RNAcentral lists this ribosomal RNA (253 nucleotides) under uncultured bacterium. RNAcentral describes it as "partial 16S ribosomal RNA". It matches the Rfam family "Bacterial small subunit ribosomal RNA", at positions 524 to 776 of the family's 1533-position model. The record is from RNAcentral.